Molecule: long non-coding RNA, 1922 nt
Organism: Manacus vitellinus (golden-collared manakin)
Lineage: Eukaryota; Metazoa; Chordata; Aves; Passeriformes; Pipridae
Source: Ensembl
CACUGGCCUGAUGACUUCAGAACAAAACAGAUCCCCAUCCUGGGACAGCUGCUAGGUCGUCUUCUCUGCUUCCAGUUUUCUGAGGGAAAGACAAAACAUUCAGCUUCAAGAGCUUUUUAUUACCUCUGUCAAUUCAUCUUUGAUAAAAACAGGAGGAUAUCAUACCCUGAAGAGUACUAUAGAAAAUACCUGCGUCUACCUGUCACCUUCUUGCAGUGGUGCAACAACAUCAGAGCCCAGAUCAAGGCCUUGGAAUGUUAUCUCACACCUUCUGAGAGGACAUACAUCAUGCUUGCAGCCAUCGAGGCGAUGCAGGACUCCAGCACCUCUGGCCAUCAUGCAGCAAGACACUUCUUGCAGCUGGCCAUGAGAUCUCCUGAUUUCUGGCUGGCAGAUGUAAGUGGCCUGUGGCUGGAUUACCCUGCCGAGCCUUGUCCCUCCUGCCUCCCUCCAUCCCAAACUCAGGUGUCUUGUGCCCCUGAAUUCACCUGAAGGCAGAAGAGAGGGCUAGGAAGAGCAGCUGAAGACAUGGCUGCAGCACCACUCGUACCUAUGUCCUCUCCAGGUGCCAAGCAUUGUGAGGGGCAUCCAGGAGUGCCUGGAGCACACCAGCCUGGCAACUGAUGUGGAGAGCCUGGACACCUUGCUUGCAGUGCUGGCUCACAAAUCCCCCAGGGAACUGGUGAGCAGCAUGUUGACUUCCACAGCACCAUAUGACAGCACCGCCCUGGCCGUGUGGGACCAGAUGUAUUCUCAGCUCAACAUCACAUCCAAGUUCUGGGUGGAGCUGCAGGGAAGGGUUCACUCACCGGAAGAGCAGGACGGCGAGCUCUUCAGCCCCACUGUGUUGUAUGCCAUCAGAGUUUAUAAGGUGACACUGAACCCCACCAACACUGAAAUCGCUGACCUCCUCAGGGACAGUCAGAAGUGUCCAAAGCCGGAAUUUCUCACACUUGCACUCACAGGUCUCAGCAAUGCCUUGGAGAGUCCUGAGAUGGCAAGAAGACUUCGGUUCCUGCUGCCGGACAUUGUGGAGCUCCUGCAGCACACCAACAAAGUCAUCAGGCUAAAGGCCCUGCGGGUGCUGCACAUCAUGGUGCAGCACAUAGGGAGGAAUGGUGCCAGCAGAAUGGCCGUGCGGCUCUUGCAGCAGCUCCUGCCACUCUUUGAUGAUGAGUGCACUGAGGUGCGAGAGUACUCCAUCUUCCUCUUCAAACAACUGGUGGAAGCUGCAGUGUGCUGGGACGUGUGGAGGAUGAAACGAAAAGCACGGAAGGGAGUGAUGCCACUGCUCCUCCACAUGACUGAGAUGUCCGAGAGCGUGGCCCAGGUCUCCAGGGAAGCCCUCCUUUCCGUGGCUGAGAUCCUGGGGUGGGAAGAGCUCAAGCAGCCAAUCGAAACAAAGCACCCGUUGGAUAUCGCAGAGCGCUUGCUGGAGAGAAACAUUAACAGGGUAGAAGAGUACCUGGAACAGAGCUGGCCAUACCUGCAGUGCCCUCAGACCACCGUGAGAGAGACAGCCCGCCGGUUCACUCUGAUGGCCAGGUGGUACCUGAGGGACCUGAACGACGACGAUAACCUCAGCAGUGAGUGGGGAGAAUGGGCUGGGGCGAGGGGGGGAUGCAGGGGGAUCUCUGCAGACAGGGGGCUUCAUCUCAGUGCCCUCUUUCAGUCAUGACUGCUAAGUCCUCGGACGCAACUCGUGAGUCCCAGUCCCUGGCAGCUCGGGUCAACCGGAUGCUGAGAGCUCUCCGGCUGCAGCGAAGACUCAGAGCAACCUGCCGAGUGCUGUGCUGCGGGUGCUCAUGCUGGUGCUGAGUCAGACACAGGGGUCACUUUCCUUGAGGACACAGGGAAUAGAAUUUAACAAAACUUGCAACGAAUUUAAUAAAAUCGGUGUAAGUCUGUGUUGAAUAAAGCUG